GGCUAGUUGGUCUAGGGGUAUGAUUCUCGCUUAGGGUGCUAGAGGUCCCGGGUUCAAAUCCCGGACGAGCCC
RNAcentral lists this transfer RNA (72 nucleotides) under Danionella translucida. It matches the Rfam family "tRNA". Rfam says of the family: Transfer RNA (tRNA) molecules are approximately 80 nucleotides in length. Their secondary structure includes four short double-helical elements and three loops (D, anti-codon, and T loops). The record is from Rfam by way of RNAcentral. Lineage: Eukaryota; Metazoa; Chordata; Actinopteri; Cypriniformes; Danionidae. RNAcentral also lists the same sequence under 1 other name.